This 1272-nucleotide ribosomal RNA is filed under the name Triticum aestivum (bread wheat). RNAcentral describes it as "partial small subunit ribosomal RNA". Lineage: Eukaryota; Viridiplantae; Streptophyta; Magnoliopsida; Poales; Poaceae. The record is from RNAcentral.
AUGGCUCGUGGCGAUCAUCAAAUUGAUGAUGAUGAUUUCAUGGAUCCACCACAGCGUAAUCGGGCAACUGGACGGAGAAAAGAGGGUGAUGAGAAGAAGAAACAUAUUCGCAACAGAGCCUCCCAAGAACGACUGACUGCGUUGACUGACAAAUUCACCGACGAUCAGAAGGGAGCUGCUGCUGAGAUGGGUAUGCAGGCUAUGAUGGAUGCCCGGUGCACGAACCUUGUCAACCCUGUAUGCGACUGGUUUGGUGAGAUCUACCACCCCGCCUCCAGGGAAUUCGUGAUUCCGGGACGUGGAAGACUACCGUUGAACGAGGAAUCCGUGUUCUGUACUUUGGGUGUGCCUCGUGGACAUAUCAAAGUCCCGUACGAGGCCAUGACGACGCAUGGAGAUGUUUUCAAUAUGAAGCUACUCAUGUACCUCAUCUCAGCUGUUUUCACGCCGACCACUUCUCUUCGCCCAAGCAACAAAUGCUUCCCCAUCAUGGCGGACCUGAAAAAUGUGAAGAACAUGAAUUGGUGUAAGUUUAUUGCCGACUUCCUGCACGAUGCAUUCUCAAGCAAGAUGUACCAAAAGGGUUGUCGACUGCAUUUAAUGCUCAUGUAUGUCGACUGUCUUGAUCUGUCCACCGUGGAUUUCACUGGGAUAGGAGGCCCGCCGCCUACGCACAAGUUUGCUGUUUCUGUGUGGACUAUCAACGUUGUCAAGGCUGUGCUUGCCGCAGACAAGGUGACUGAUACAAAAUAUGGAAAACUGCAGCUGAUGGCCAAGCACGCUAUAGACUACAGCGUGUUUGGGGGGCCUCAAAACUUUGAAAAGUGGAUGGAUGUGCACUCAGCUCCAUCUUGCCCUACUAAGGCGAGGGCACCUAUUGAGCAUCUAAUUGGGCAGUUUGCAUCCGGAAUGAUCGGAUUGCUCGGGAAGUUGGUUGAGGGGUGGACGUCCCUCAGUGGUUCUGACAGCGACGCGGUUGCCAGUUCCCAAGAGCCCGGUGACACACAAGAUGAUCUAGAUGGAGACGCCGGCCUCAGCAAGGAUGACGACGAUGACAUGGAGAAUGUGCAACAGGACUCUGAUGAUGAUGAACAUGCUGAAGUUUGCGUAGGUGAUAACAAGGGCAAGGAUGCAACAGAUGUCCCCCCACCAGAGAAAGUCAAAGAACAUACGGCUGCGAGAGGCGAGGGGGUGUUGCCAUCAAGGAGGGGGAGGGCUCCAGAGGAUGUUGGGAGGGUUCUCCUGGCAAGAGGUCUAGGACCGAUCCCGUAG